GAAAAGAUGGCUUUCCUUUGGGGAAAUGGCCAACGCUGCAGAAUGCUGCUGAGGGUCAAAUAAGGUAAGAGCUGAAAAGUGUCCACAGGACUUGACAAGUAGGUCAUUGGCGAUCUCAGUGAGAACAGCUUCACUGGCACGGUGAAGGCGGGCGGAGAGGAGGGGGAGGUGGUAAGGAGGGCACUCUUUCAGGAAGUUUAUCUUCGAAGGGAAGGAGACAGUGUUAAGGAGCAGGAUGGGGACAGUGAGGGUUGGACAGCAUGUUCAAUGCUUAUAGGGAGGGGCAUGCAGAGAAGGAACAUUGUAGCUACAGAAGGGAGGGCGUCUGGAAGGCUGGAGGGGAGAGCAUCAGUGAAGGGAGGGCCUUGGAUGGAAGGUGGUUUGGCUCUUCCGCUGUGCGGGUGGUUGGGGGAAGGAAAGAUAGGAGGAAGAUGCUGAUGUGGGUGUUCCUCACUGGGUAGCUCUUCUCCAAGUAGUGACUCAAGAACCCUUGUUGCUUUCACCUGGUGCCUCUGGCAUCUUCU
This 524-nucleotide long non-coding RNA is filed under the name Equus caballus (horse). RNAcentral's name for it is "lncRNA (ENSECAG00000057578.1)". Lineage: Eukaryota; Metazoa; Chordata; Mammalia; Perissodactyla; Equidae. The record is from RNAcentral.